AUUGAACGCUGGCGGCAUGCCUUACACAUGCAAGUCGAACGGUAACGGGCCUUCGGGUGCCGACGAGUGGCGAACGGGUGAGUAAUACAUCGGAACGUGCCCGAUCGUGGGGGAUAACGAGGCGAAAGCUUUGCUAAUACCGCAUACGAUCUACGGAUGAAAGCAGGGGACCGCAAGGCCUUGCGCGGACGGAGCGGCCGAUGGCAGAUUAGGUAGUUGGUGGGAUAAAAGCUUACCAAGCCGACGAUCUGUAGCUGGUCUGAGAGGAUGAUCAGCCACACGGGGAGUGAGACGCGGCCCAGACGCCUACGGGAGGCAGAAGUGGGGAAUGGUGGACAAUGGGCGCAAGCCUGAUCGAGCGAUGCCGCGGGGAGGAUGAAGGCCUUCGGGUGGUAAACUGCUUUUGUAGGGAAAGAAAAGCAUGCGUUUAAUACAGGGGGGGCAGGACGGUACCGUAAGAAUAAGCACCGGCUAACUACGUG
RNAcentral lists this ribosomal RNA (482 nucleotides) under uncultured bacterium. RNAcentral describes it as "partial 16S ribosomal RNA". It matches the Rfam family "Bacterial small subunit ribosomal RNA", at positions 29 to 507 of the family's 1533-position model. The record is from RNAcentral.